AAUGCAGUGCCCGAACAGGGCGUUGUAAUUGGAAUGAGAACAAUUUAAAUCCCUUAUCGAUUAACAAUUAGAGGGCAAGUCUGGUGCCAGCAGCCGCGGUAAUUCCAGCUCUAAUAGCGUAUAUUAAAGUUGUUGCAGUUAAAAAGCUCGUAGUUGGAUUUCGGCGUGCGCUCAGGCUGGUCGGCCGUCAAGGUCUGUACCGUUUGGGUCACGCCCCACUGUAGGAUACUCACCGCUGUCCUUAACUGGGUGGCGGUCAAAGGGGGUGUGCAUGGGGGCAACUCUGUGCAUAUCUCUGGGGUUCCUACUCUUUUACUUUGAGCAAAUUAGAGUGUUCAAAGCAGGCAAUCGAGCCUUGAAUACUUCAGCAUGGGAUAAUGGAACAGGACUGGGGUCCUGAUUUCGUUGGUUUCUGGGAUCUCAGUAAUGAUUAAUAGGGAUAGUUGGGGGCAUUAGUAUUUAAUUGUCAGAGGUGAAAUUCUUGGAUUUAUGAAAGACUAACUUCUGCGAAAGCAUUUGCCAAGUAUGUUUUCAUUAAUCAAGAACGAAAGUUAGGGGAUCGAAGACGAUCAGAUACCGUCGUAGUCUUAACCAUAAACGAUGCCGACCAGCGAUUGGGAGACGUUACAUGGAUGACUCCCCCAGCAGCUUGCGAGAAAUCACAAGUCUUUGGGUUCCGGGGGGAGUAUGGUCGCAAGGCUGAAACUUAAAGGAAUUGACGGAAGGGCACCACCAGGAGUGGAGCCUGCGGCUUAAUUUGACCCAACACGGGGAAACUUACCAGGUCCAGACAUAGUAAGGAUUGACAGAUUUGAGAGCUCUUUCUUGAUUCUAUGGGUGGUGGUGCAUGGCCGUUCUUAGUUGGUGGAGUGAUUUGUCUGGUUAAUUCCGUUAACGAACAAGACCUUAACCUGCUAAAUAUGUCACUGGUAGACUUCUGCCAAAACAGGUGGGUGUCUAGGGGAAAGUUUCGAUGGACUCCGACGCAUUCAUCUGUGGAUGACUACCAGGAUGUACUUCUUAGAGGGACUAUCUGUAUCAAAGCAGAUGGAAGUUUGAGGCAAUAACAGGUCUGUGAUGCCCUUAGAUGUUCUGGGCCGCACGCGCGCUACACUGACAAGUUCAACGAGUUUAACACCUUGCUCGAUAGGGCUGGGUAAUCUUUGAAAAACUUGUCGUGAUGGGGAUAGAUCAUUGUAAUUAUUGGUCUUCAACGAGGAAUUCCUAGUAAGCGUGAGUCAUCAGCUCGCGUUGAUUACGUCCCUGCCCUUUGUACACACCGCCCGUCGCUCCUACCGAUUGAAUGAUCCGGUGAAAUGUUGGGAGCUGGGGUCUUUUGGCGGCGGGGCAACUCGUCGUCAGGGAUUCUGCAAACUUCAUUAAACCUUAUCAUUUAGA
This 1398-nucleotide ribosomal RNA is filed under the name metagenome. RNAcentral describes it as "SSU rRNA". It matches the Rfam family "Eukaryotic small subunit ribosomal RNA", at positions 482 to 1777 of the family's 1831-position model. The record is from RNAcentral.